GACGAACGCUGGCGGCGUGCUUAACACAUGCAAGUCGAACGGAAAGGCCCUGCUUUUGUGGGGUGCUCGAGUGGCGAACGGGUGAGUAACACGUGAGUAACCUGCCCUUGACUGUGGGAUAACUUCAGGAAACGGGGGCUAAUACCGGAUAGGAGCUCCUGCUGCAUGGUGGGGGUUGGAAAGUUUCGGCGGUUGGGGAUGGACUCGCGGCUUAUCAGCUGGUUGGUGGGGUAGUGGCUUACCAAGGCUUGGACGGGUAGCCGGCCUGGGAGGGUGACCGGCCACAUUGGGACUGGGAUACGGCCCAGACUCCUACGGGAGGCAGCAGUGGGGAAUAUUGCACAAUGGGCGGAAGCCUGAUGCAGCAACGCCGCGUGCGGGAUGACGGCCUUCGGGUUGUAACCCGCUUUCGCCUGUGACGAAGCGUGAGUGACGGUAAUGGGUAAAGAAGCACCGGCUAACUACGUG
RNAcentral lists this ribosomal RNA (468 nucleotides) under uncultured bacterium. RNAcentral's name for it is "partial 16S ribosomal RNA". It matches the Rfam family "Bacterial small subunit ribosomal RNA", at positions 28 to 507 of the family's 1533-position model. The record is from RNAcentral.